This 575-nucleotide long non-coding RNA is filed under the name Elaeis guineensis (African oil palm). RNAcentral's name for it is "long non-coding RNA (EGUI_LNC081728)". The record is from RNAcentral. Lineage: Eukaryota; Viridiplantae; Streptophyta; Magnoliopsida; Arecales; Arecaceae.
NGAGAGAGAGAGAGAGAGGAAAGGAAGACGCAGCAAAGCAGCAGCAGCAGCAAAUGGUGAAGAACGGUGCAGCAUUGCUUACCAAAGCACAGAAAAGGAAUGGUGCAGCAGUGGCAGUCACGGGUAGCAGCCAAAGCAGAGAGAAAUAAAUCAGAAGAAAACUCUCUCUCUCACUCUCUCUCUAGUACUCCUUGUUCUUAUACUCAUAAAUAAAAGCUCUCACUCCUCUUAUUAGCACAUUUUUAAGAAUGGUUUUUGCUUCUGGGCUUAUGUUUUUGGCAUGCAUUCGGUCCGUUUCCUUAUCUGGGUACAUCACCUAUCCUUGUAGAGGGAUUUCGUAGUGUAAUUGCUUCCUGGGUGAUCACCCUUUUGUUUCGUUAUUUAUUGGCUGGCAUUUUAUUUUUAUUUCAUGUUGCUUUCUUCUGGGUUUUGAUUCUAUGGUGUGGCUGGUCAGCCUGCCUGCGGAAAUAGUCUGUGUAUAGAGAAAGUUUUGGUGUAAUGAAUGCCUUUUGAUCUCUCUCUCUCUCUCUCUGGAUCUUCAAAGCGAAGUUUCCAUCUAUUUUUUUUGUGUUUUG